UCUUCGUCUUCCUCAUUCGUAACCAACCUCCCCCAGUAAAUCUUAUUCUUUGAGCGCCGAGAAGAGCUCUGUAACGUCUCAACAAAUCAUAAAUCAUUCUUUUACUCCAGAGUUUCAGUGAUUACUCCACUCCGCCCACUUGAAGCAAUCAAGCUACCGCUUCGUCUUCCACCGUAACCGGCUGAAGCCUCUACUAUAAAUGCCGGACCUUUCUGUGAUGUUUAGUUCAACUCAAACGAUAUCAAGAAUCAUACUUUUUACCAGCAAACGAUUUCAAUGGCGUCUUCCUACACUCUCCUUGCCGACCUGAAAGCCGUCUGAUGCUCUAACACUGCAGCGGUUCGUCUGCUAAGGUUUUGGGAGGCCAGAAAUAUCUAAAGUUGUGUUUUGAUUUCGUUUUGUUUUCUAGGCUAAUUUGGCUACGACUAAUUUGUGUUAAUAUUUUGUCCACAAAAAUCUUAAUCUAAUCUGAAAGAAUUUGUGACGACGCUCUGUCAAACCACCGCGGUACCGCUUCACCUCCACUUUGGAGUGUCGGGAUAACUUUCUGUAAUUAUGACAUUCAGUGGAGGAAACCCACUAUGUCCUCUUCAACGUAUCUUCAGUUUUUCACAGGGAGCCUUCUCCAAAUCCCUCCAUUCCAGUGAUCUCAUAGAUCCCAAAAGAUGCUCACAGUCAGGUUAUCCAAGCGUCUACCAACAUUAACCAGUUCAAUACUUUCAAACACAUUCUGAAGAAAGGAUCUCUUUAUGAGAUGAGAGUUUUUGAUGUCACCAGAAGCUACCAAAACUUCAGAUUUGUUGACAGCCCUGUUGCUAUUCGAUUCAUGAUGAUACAAAAUUUGACGAGAUAGCAGAAACCAUGGACCCUCUCCCCCGUUUUUCAGGUUUAGUGAUUAUGAACGACUCAUGUAAUUGGCUAAUAUGAACACGGAUUUGCCAGAUAUUGUUGGUGAAGUGAGGGAUAUUAAAACCACUUACAGUGAAGAAACCAGUGCAUGAAGUCACAGGGAUACCACUAUUUGUCUUAGUGUUUUUGACGGGCUUUCCAGGUUUCUCCAUCAUAAAUUAGUAACGUCUGGUGUCGAGCCUUUAGUUUUUUAAAGCUUGAAUGUACGCAAGAAACUCAUAUAGAGCAAGUUUUCUGGUCUCACUUUGAGCAUCUCUCCUUAGUGCAAUCUCUUUCAUAUAUUAAACCCACUCCAUUUGUUUCUUUUCCACGCCAUUUUUUUCUGGGUACAUCCAGUCAGAUGAGUUACCUUAAAGGGUUAGGAAAUAGCGCCUAAAACCCCUCUCGCACAUUCCUUACCCUAAGAUCUGUAGCAGUGAAUAAGGUUGUUCAUCUACUUCUACAAAAUAUGGAGAUGUCAAAGAAGACUGAAUCUAUAAGAGUGUCGGAGCUUAAUGACUAUGUACUGAAUUCACCGCAUCAGUGUUUGUUGCUUUUAACGUGAGAUGACAAACCAAUAUUUGUGCUUCACUGGUCAUGCACGUUGGCGUUGAAGACCCACAUGUAAGGUCCCUCCCACAAGGCCUCCAAGAUUGUAGGCAGGAUGUUCACUUUCCGCUUUAGAACAUCACUCUUCCCCUCUCUCACGCAUUCUCAGUCGCACCAGCGCCUAGCAAUAGCUAAUUUUGCGGUCCAGUGACAACCCGGCGACGAUAUGGUGGGAGCUGCAUCCAUAACAACAAAUCCGUCACUUGGUGUCGUGUGACCAGUAGUAGAAGGUUCAAUAGUCAUGGUAUGGUUGAAGAAAACAGAGGCGAGGCAGCUCUACUACGUGCUCCACAUGUUGUUCUUGAAAUGACUUCGGAGGAGCCAACAGUUAUGGAGGAUGGACACUCUGUGAAGAAGGCACGCAUUGAGUAAAAUCUCAAGGGAGUCUAUGACCCUCAUGUCAACCACAGCUACGCUGGAGUUUUUCUCGGAUGUAGCAUAAUAAUGAAAUAGGACCACAACUCAUUCCCACCCGUUAUGCUACGGUCUUUGUUUCUUUCAAAUUUUCGUAUGUCUCAAGCAAGCUCUCUUCUUACAAGUAUAUAAAUAACAACUUCUACAUUCCGACCGAACUCAGUGGAGAGGCUCUGACUUGAAGGUUCAAUUUAAUCGCUUACUUUAA
Raphanus sativus (radish) is the source of this 2119-nucleotide long non-coding RNA. RefSeq lists it as uncharacterized. The transcript is spliced from 7 exons. The record is from RefSeq and is a predicted model, not a curated record. Lineage: Eukaryota; Viridiplantae; Streptophyta; Magnoliopsida; Brassicales; Brassicaceae.